AUUGAACGCUGGCGGCAUGCUUUACACAUGCAAGUCGAACGCGAAAGGGGGGCAACUCCUGAGUAGAGUGGCGCACGGGUGAGUAAUACAUCGGAACGUGUCCUGUAAUGGGGGGAUAACGCAGCGAAAGCUGUGCUAAUACCGCAUACGUCCUACGGGAGAAAGUGGGGGACCGCAAGGCCUCACGUUAUAGGAGCGGCCGAUGUCGGAUUAGCUAGUUGGUGGGGUAAAGGCUCACCAAGGCUACGAUCCGUAGCUGGUCUGAGAGGAUGAUCAGCCACACUGGGACUGAGACACGGCCCAGACUCCUACGGGAGGCAGCAGUGGGGAAUUUUGGACAAUGGGCGCAAGCCUGAUCCAGCCAUGCCGCGUGAGUGAAGAAGGCCUUCGGGUUGGUUAAAGGACUCUUUCGGUCCGGGACCGGAAAUACGCACGGGCUAACACCGCGUGUGGA
This 454-nucleotide ribosomal RNA is filed under the name uncultured bacterium. RNAcentral describes it as "bacterial SSU rRNA". It matches the Rfam family "Bacterial small subunit ribosomal RNA", at positions 30 to 513 of the family's 1533-position model. The record is from RNAcentral.